CAAUAGCGUAUAUUAAAGUUGUUGCAGUUAAAAAGCUCGUAGUUGGAUUUCGGGGCAGCCUGGCUGGUCCGCCGCAAGGCGAGUACUGGUCAGCCGCCCUUCCUCUCGAAAGCCCCGACUGCUCUUCGUUGCAGUGGUCGGGUAGUUCGGGACGUUUACUUUGGAAAAAUUAGAGUGUUCAAGGCAGGCCUACGCCUGAAUACAUUAGCAUGGAAUAAUGGAAGAGGACCUCGGUCCUAUUUUGUUGGUUUCCAGGGCCGAAGUAAUGAUUAAGAGGGACAGUUGGGGGCAUUCGUAUUUAAUUGUCAGAGGUGAGAUUCUCGGAUUUAUGAAAGACGAACAACUGCGAAAGCAUUUGCCAAGGAUGUUUUCAUUAA
Molecule: ribosomal RNA, 377 nt
Filed under: uncultured eukaryote
Lineage: Eukaryota
Description: partial 18S ribosomal RNA
Rfam family: Eukaryotic small subunit ribosomal RNA
Source: RNAcentral